This is a non-coding RNA of Podarcis lilfordi (Lilford's wall lizard), 74 nucleotides long. Lineage: Eukaryota; Metazoa; Chordata; Lepidosauria; Squamata; Lacertidae. The record is from the annotation of a GenBank genome assembly.
ACCUAAGAUAGCUCAGAUGGCAGAGCAUGAGACUCUGAAUCUCAGGGACGUGGGUUCCAGCCCCAUGUCGGGUG